AAUCUGAAAACUAACAUCUCAUAAGAAAAAGGCAGUUGCCUGACUAGUUGAGUAUGCAACUAAUACUACAAUAUUUAGUUGUGAGAUGGUAGUUUACAACUAGCACAUUUUCUACAGCGUACAUAAAAGUAUGAACAAUAAUAUACACAUAUCUGGUUGCUCAAACUCGUUUGCAGUGGAAUCAAUAAAAAGGAUAUAAAAUUAAUUGUAAUGAAAAUUGGCAUCCCAAACUCAGAAGCAUCGUGCUAUCCUAAGGAUACUUAUGCAAGUGUAAACUUAGAGCCUAGUGGUCAUUGGAAGCCGAGCAAUGGACUUUCAAAAGUACAACUUCGAUGUGAAAAUGCAAAUAUAUGCCGGUGAAUAGAUGUGAUGAAAGUGGGCGUUUACGUUUGUUCAUUUCGCAUUGAAUGUAUCCACAAUUUUUUCGAUUGAACAGGUAAUAUACCAUUUGUAUGUAUGUUUAUGUGACAUACAGUACAGACACAUAUAAUUUUUCAUGCAAUUUAUGGUCGUAGAGAAUGCGAAACUUU
Anastrepha obliqua is the source of this 530-nucleotide long non-coding RNA. RefSeq lists it as uncharacterized. Lineage: Eukaryota; Metazoa; Arthropoda; Insecta; Diptera; Tephritidae. The record is from RefSeq and is a predicted model, not a curated record. The transcript has 3 exons.